GACGAACGCUGGCGGCGUGCUUAACACAUGCAAGUCGAGCGGUAAGGCCCUUUCGGGGGUACACGAGCGGCGAACGGGUGAGUAACACGUGGGUGACCUGCCCUUAGCUCUGGGAUAAGCCUGGGAAACUGGGUCUAAUACCGGAUAUGACCUCAUGACUUAUGUUGUGGGGUGGAAAGCCUUGUGCGGCUAGGGAUGGGCCCGCGGCCUAUCAGCUUGUUGGUGGGGUAAUUGCCUACCAAGGCGA
Molecule: ribosomal RNA, 247 nt
Filed under: uncultured Actinomycetes bacterium
Lineage: Bacteria; Bacillati; Actinomycetota; Actinomycetes
Description: uncultured actinobacterium partial 16S ribosomal RNA
Rfam family: Bacterial small subunit ribosomal RNA
Source: RNAcentral